AUACUUACCUGGCAGGGGAGAUACCAUGAUCAUGAAGGUGGUUCACCCAAGGUGAGGCUCAGCCAUUGCACUGAGGCUGUUGCUGACCUUUGCGAAUUCCCCAAAUGUGGGAAUCUCGACUGCAUAAUUUCUGGUAGUGGGGGACUGCGUCCGCGCUCUCCCCUG
This 165-nucleotide small nuclear RNA is filed under the name Oryzias latipes (Japanese medaka). Its description in RNAcentral is "U1 spliceosomal RNA (ENSORLG00015009727.1)". It matches the Rfam family "U1 spliceosomal RNA". From Rfam's summary of the family: U1 is a small nuclear RNA (snRNA) component of the spliceosome (involved in pre-mRNA splicing). Its 5' end forms complementary base pairs with the 5' splice junction, thus defining the 5' donor site of an intron. The record is from RNAcentral. Lineage: Eukaryota; Metazoa; Chordata; Actinopteri; Beloniformes; Adrianichthyidae.